RNAcentral lists this transfer RNA (72 nucleotides) under Pyricularia grisea. RNAcentral's name for it is "tRNA-Ala". It matches the Rfam family "tRNA". Rfam says of the family: Transfer RNA (tRNA) molecules are approximately 80 nucleotides in length. The record is from RNAcentral. Lineage: Eukaryota; Fungi; Ascomycota; Sordariomycetes; Magnaporthales; Pyriculariaceae. RNAcentral also lists the same sequence under 4 other names.
GGGGAUAUGGUAUAAUUGGUAGUACUUCAAUUUUGCAUAUUGAGUGUCUAGGUUCGAGUCCUGGUAUCUCCA